RNAcentral lists this ribosomal RNA (504 nucleotides) under uncultured bacterium. RNAcentral describes it as "bacterial SSU rRNA". It matches the Rfam family "Bacterial small subunit ribosomal RNA", at positions 28 to 506 of the family's 1533-position model. The record is from RNAcentral.
GAUUAAUGCUGGCGGUAUGCCUAAUACAUGCAAGUCGAACGAGGCAAUAUACUUUAUUGUCGAGUGGCGAACGGGUGAGUAACACGUAUUUAACCUACCUUUAAGUUGGGGAUAGCCACUGGAAACAGUGAUUAAUACCGAAUAUCUUCUGAGAACAAAUGUUUUCAGAACGAAAGGAACAAGUGGAAUGCUUUUCCACAGGUUUCGCUUUUAGAUGGGAGUGCGUUGCAUUAGAUAGUUGGUAGGGUAACGGCCUACCAAGUCAACGAUGCAUAGCCGGACUGAGAGGUUGAACGGCCACACUGGGAUUGAGAUACGGCCCAGACUCCUACGGGAGGCAGCAGUAAGGAAUUUUUCACAAUGGGCGCAAGCCUGAUGAAGCAAUACCGCGUGAUCGAUGACGGUUUUUGGAUUGUAAAGAUUUGUGGUAGAGGAAGAAUGGAUAAAUGAGGAAAUGCAUUUAUUUUUGACGGUACUUUGCUAGAAAGCCAUGACUAAUUACGU